RNAcentral lists this ribosomal RNA (467 nucleotides) under uncultured bacterium. Its description in RNAcentral is "partial 16S ribosomal RNA". It matches the Rfam family "Bacterial small subunit ribosomal RNA", at positions 29 to 507 of the family's 1533-position model. The record is from RNAcentral.
ACGCACGCUGGCGGCGUGCUUAACACAUGCCAGUCGCACGGAAAGGCCCUGCUUUUGUGGGGUGCUCGAGUGGCGAACGGGUGAGUAACACGUGAGUAACCUGCCCUUGACUUUGGGAUAACUUCAGGAAACUGGGGCUAAUACCGGAUAGGAGCUCCUGCUGCAUGGUGGGGGUUGGAAAGUUUCGGCGGUUGGGGAUGGACUCGCGGCUUAUCAGCUUGUUGGUGGGGUAGUGGCUUACCAAGGCUUUGACGGGUAGCCGGCCUGAGAGGGUGACCGGCCACAUUGGGACUGAGAUACGGCCCAGACUCCUACGGGAGGCAGCAGUGGGGAAUAUUGCACAAUGGGCGGAAGCCUGAUGCAGCAACGCCGCGUGCGGGAUGACGGCCUUCGGGUUGUAAACCGCUUUCGCCUGUGACGAAGCGUGAGUGACGGUAAUGGGUAAAGAAGUACCGGCUAACUACGUG